RNAcentral lists this ribosomal RNA (521 nucleotides) under uncultured Glomus. Its description in RNAcentral is "SSU rRNA". It matches the Rfam family "Eukaryotic small subunit ribosomal RNA", at positions 570 to 1092 of the family's 1831-position model. Lineage: Eukaryota; Fungi; Glomeromycota; Glomeromycetes; Glomerales; Glomeraceae. The record is from RNAcentral.
GCAGCCGCGGUAAUUCCAGCUCCAAUAGCGUAUAUUAAAGUUGUUGCAGUUAAAAAGCUCGUAGUUGAAUUUCGGGGUUAGUAGGUUGGUCAUGCCUCUGGUAUGUACUGGUCUCACUGAUUCCUCCUUCCUGAUGAACCUUAAUGCCAUUAAUUUGGUGUUUUGGGGAAUUUGGACUGUUACUUUGAAAAAAUUAGAGUGUUUAAAGCAAGCUAACGCUUGAAUACAUUAGCAUGGAAUAAUGAAAUAGGACGUUCGAUCCUAUUUUGUUGGUUUCUAGGAUUGACGUAAUGAUUAAUAGGGAUAGUUGGGGGCAUUAGUAUUCAAUUGUCAGAGGUGAAAUUCUUGGAUUUAUUGAAGACUAACUACUGCGAAAGCAUUUGCCAAGGAUGUUUUCAUUAAUCAAGAACGAAAGUUAGGGGAUCGAAGACGAUCAGAUACCGUCGUAGUCUUAACCAUAAACUAUGCCGACUAGGGAUCGGAUGAUGUUAAUUUUUUAAUGACUCAUUCGGCGCCUUACG